This 425-nucleotide ribosomal RNA is filed under the name uncultured bacterium. RNAcentral's name for it is "partial 16S ribosomal RNA". It matches the Rfam family "Bacterial small subunit ribosomal RNA", at positions 354 to 796 of the family's 1533-position model. The record is from RNAcentral.
GUGGGGAAUCUUGCGCAAUGGGCGAAAGCCUGACGCAGCCAUGCCGCGUGAAUGAUGAAGGUCUUAGGAUUGUAAAAUUCUUUCACCGUGGACGAUAAUGACGGUACCCGGAGAAGAAGCUCCGGCUAACUUCGUGCCAGCAGCCGCGGUAAUACGAAGGGGGCUAGCGUUGCUCGGAAUUACUGGGCGUAAAGGGCGCGUAGGCGGACAGCUGAGUCAGAGGUGAAAGCCCAGGGCUCAACCUUGGAAUUGCCGUUGAUACUGGCUGUCUUGAGUAUGGGAGAGGUGAGUGGAACUCCGAGUGUAGAGGUGAAAUUCGUAGAUAUUCGGAAGAACACCAGUGGCGAAGUCGACUCACUGGCCCAAUACUGACGCUGAGGCGCGAAAGCGUGGGGAGCAAACAGGAUUAGAAACCCCUGUAGUCC